AGCAGUCGCCACGGUAAUACGUAGGUGGCAAGCGUUGUCCGGAAUUAUUGGGCGUAAAGGGCUCGCAGGCGGUUUCUUAAGUCUGAUGUGAAAGCCCCCGGCUCAACCGGGGAGGGUCAUUGGAAACUGGGAAACUUGAGUGCAGAAGAGGAGAGUGGAAUUCCACGUGUAGCGGUGAAAUGCGUAGAGAUGUGGAGGAACACCAGUGGCGAAGGCGACUCUCUGGUCUGUAACUGACGCUGAGGAGCGAAAGCGUGGGGAGCGAACAGGAUUAGAUACCCGAGUAGUCCCUGUCUCUUAUAC
This 303-nucleotide ribosomal RNA is filed under the name uncultured bacterium. RNAcentral describes it as "partial 16S ribosomal RNA". It matches the Rfam family "Bacterial small subunit ribosomal RNA", at positions 507 to 807 of the family's 1533-position model. The record is from RNAcentral.